This 78-nucleotide microRNA precursor is filed under the name Schistosoma margrebowiei. RNAcentral's name for it is "mir-3492 microRNA precursor family". It matches the Rfam family "mir-3492 microRNA precursor family". Lineage: Eukaryota; Metazoa; Platyhelminthes; Trematoda; Strigeidida; Schistosomatidae. The record is from Rfam by way of RNAcentral.
AGCCUUCUGUAUCCGUGCUGAGACUUUGUCACACACCAGACCAUAGGGGCUGAUGAUACUUCCAAGGUAAGUGAAGCG